Juglans regia (Persian walnut) is the source of this 273-nucleotide long non-coding RNA. RefSeq lists it as uncharacterized. The record is from RefSeq and is a predicted model, not a curated record. The transcript is spliced from 3 exons. Lineage: Eukaryota; Viridiplantae; Streptophyta; Magnoliopsida; Fagales; Juglandaceae.
UCCCUUUCCAUGCAAGCUAAAGCCAACCCUCUCUUCUUCUCCUCUCUUUUGUUCUUCAAGAAACCAACUCCUCUCAUCAUCUUCAAGCUUAUGACUCCAUAGCAAGUGAUAUCGUGUUGCUCUUCAUCCACACGGCUAUACCUCUAUUUGGUCUUCCAUUUGUGUUUUGAAAGGAGCAAAGAACUUAAGGUAAUGAUGAAAAGGCUGGGGAGCGAGACAUUACUGUAGAUGAAGAGGCAGAAGCAUAGGAUCUUCCCUAACUAGAACAGUUAU